UACGUAGGUGGCAAGCGUUAUCCGGAUUUAUUGGGUUUAAAGGGUGCGUAGGCGGGCUUUUAAGUCAGCGGUAAAAAUUCGGGGCUCAACCCCGUCCGGCCGUUGAAACUGGGGGCCUUGAGUGGGCGAGAAGAAGGCGGAAUGCGUGGUGUAGCGGUGAGAUGCAUAGAUAUCACGCAGAACCCCGAUUGCGAAGGCAGCCUUCCGGCGCCCUACUGACGCUGAGGCACGAAAGUGCGGGGAUCGAACAGG
Molecule: ribosomal RNA, 252 nt
Filed under: uncultured bacterium
Lineage: Bacteria
Description: partial 16S ribosomal RNA
Rfam family: Bacterial small subunit ribosomal RNA
Source: RNAcentral